GACGAACGCUGGCGGCGUGCUUAACACAUGCAAGUCGAACGGAAAGGCCCUGCUUUUGUGGGGUGCUCGAGUGGCGAACGGGUGAGUAACACGUGAGUAACCUGCCCUUGACUUUGGGAUAACUUCAGGAAACUGGGGCUAAUACCAGAUAGGAGCUCCUGCUGCAUGGUGGGGGUUGGAAAGUUUCGGCGGUUGGGGAUGGACUCGCGGCUUAUCAGCUUGUUGGUGGGGUAGUGGCUUACCAAGGCUUUGACGGGUAGCCGGCCUGAGAGGGUGACCGGCCACAUUGGGACUGAGAUACGGCACAGACUCCUACGGGAGGCAGCAGUGGGGAAUAUUGCACAAUGGGCGGAAGCCUGAUGCAGCAACGCCGCGUGCGGGAUGACGGCCUUCGGGUUGUAAACCGCUUUCGCCUGUGACGAAGCGUGAGUGACGGUAAUGGGUAAAGAAGCACCGGCUAACUACGUG
This 468-nucleotide ribosomal RNA is filed under the name uncultured bacterium. RNAcentral's name for it is "partial 16S ribosomal RNA". It matches the Rfam family "Bacterial small subunit ribosomal RNA", at positions 28 to 507 of the family's 1533-position model. The record is from RNAcentral.